RNAcentral lists this ribosomal RNA (925 nucleotides) under Micrococcus sp. RNAcentral describes it as "bacterial SSU rRNA". It matches the Rfam family "Bacterial small subunit ribosomal RNA", at positions 482 to 1403 of the family's 1533-position model. Lineage: Bacteria; Bacillati; Actinomycetota; Actinomycetes; Micrococcales; Micrococcaceae. The record is from RNAcentral.
CAGAAGAAGCACCGGCUAACUACGUGCCAGCAGCCGCGGUAAUACGUAGGGUGCGAGCGUUAUCCGGAAUUAUUGGGCGUAAAGAGCUCGUAGGCGGUUUGUCGCGUCUGUCGUGAAAGUCCGGGGCUUAACCCCGGAUCUGCGGUGGGUACGGGCAGACUAGAGUGCAGUAGGGGAGACUGGAAUUCCUGGUGUAGCGGUGGAAUGCGCAGAUAUCAGGAGGAACACCGAUGGCGAAGGCAGGUCUCUGGGCUGUAACUGACGCUGAGGAGCGAAAGCAUGGGGAGCGAACAGGAUUAGAUACCCUGGUAGUCCAUGCCGUAAACGUUGGGCACUAGGUGUGGGGACCAUUCCACGGUUUCCGCGCCGCAGCUAACGCAUUAAGUGCCCCGCCUGGGGAGUACGGCCGCAAGGCUAAAACUCAAAGGAAUUGACGGGGGCCCGCACAAGCGGCGGAGCAUGCGGAUUAAUUCGAUGCAACGCGAAGAACCUUACCAAGGCUUGACAUGUUCUCGAUCGCCGUAGAGAUACGGUUUCCCCUUUGGGGCGGGUUCACAGGUGGUGCAUGGUUGUCGUCAGCUCGUGUCGUGAGAUGUUGGGUUAAGUCCCGCAACGAGCGCAACCCUCGUUCCAUGUUGCCAGCACGUCGUGGUGGGGACUCAUGGGAGACUGCCGGGGUCAACUCGGAGGAAGGUGAGGACGACGUCAAAUCAUCAUGCCCCUUAUGUCUUGGGCUUCACGCAUGCUACAAUGGCCGGUACAAUGGGUUGCGAUACUGUGAGGUGGAGCUAAUCCCAAAAAGCCGGUCUCAGUUCGGAUUGGGGUCUGCAACUCGACCCCAUGAAGUCGGAGUCGCUAGUAAUCGCAGAUCAGCAACGCUGCGGUGAAUACGUUCCCGGGCCUUGUACACACCGCCCGUCAAGUC